RNAcentral lists this long non-coding RNA (2505 nucleotides) under Oryzias javanicus (javanese ricefish). RNAcentral describes it as "lncRNA (ENSOJAG00000012461.1)". The record is from RNAcentral. Lineage: Eukaryota; Metazoa; Chordata; Actinopteri; Beloniformes; Adrianichthyidae.
CAAACAUGCAUAAAGUUAGCGUGUCGAAGCGUGUGAGGCAGAUUUUCCUAAUUUUUUACCCGCGAUAUGGCCGUAAAAUCCUGUGAGACCAGAUUUGAUUUAAAGAGAAGCAGUGAAGUAAUUUGGAUAUGAAUCAAUCUCUGAAGCUAUGCUUUGCACUUCUUGAGCGGUCACCCAUUUCAUAACGUCAUCGCAGAGACGUCCUUGUCACCAAUGAAAAAAACAUCCAAUUAAAAACAAAAUAAUAAUAUUGAUGUACAUAUUGUGUGGCCUGGGUGUUUGUUCCCAAAAUUUGGCACAGAGUGAAUGGUGAUGGCUGCUGGCUUCAUUUUGAGGUGAAAUUCCGUCAAAAAAUGAGAACAUAAUUCGGAUUACCACUGGCUGUGAACGUUUCUUUUCUCUUUGAAACAUCAUCUCUAUGUCAAGAAUUUAUUUGCUUUAAUGCAGAGCAUUUUCCUGCAGACACGAACACCUUACCUCAAAAUCAAUGUUCAAAUCAGUUCUCCCUAUUCGUCGCUUGCAUUUCCAUCAGGAUAUAGUCUUCCCCCUGUCUCCAUCAAGAAAUAGUCUACUUCCUUUUUACACCAGGAAAUAGUCUUCUCCAUUUCUUUCACCAAGGAAUAGUCUGGUCCUUUUCUCCACCAGGAAAUAGUCUGGUCCUUUUCUCCCAAUAUCCCCGUCUGCUUGCGCCAUUCUCGGAUACGUUCAGGAUACAUCCCAACAUGCCGUGCAGCUUCCUCACCAGAAUCUUCUUUGGCUAAUGCCACCGCAAGACGUUUCAAAAUGUCACUUUGGAGUUCUUUAUAGUGAGGAAUAAACAGUUUAAAAACAAUUUAAACAGGUCAAGAUUCACUGAAGGUCAGAGGUGACGAGGCUCGUGUGUGUGUCAUUGUCUGCAGUGAGGAGAGCCCAAUCCCUCUGGAGAAACUCUCCCUGUCGGAUCCUCCUGCGUGUUCGGAGCGGCCCGCCGAUGACCGGCCUGCAAACGCACACGUCGACAGGAAAGAGGAAGUGGCGCCGGCGCAGGAAGUGUCUGUCAACGGGCCGGUUUGAGCGAGCGCAAGGCGGUCUCUGCUUCUACGGCGUUUUCACUCUGCCACGCUAUCGGACAUGGACACUGCCAACCGACGACAAAGCGGACCGUCAAACCCAGAAACGCCGGAGCCGAGCGGCGAGGAAUCAUGUCAAAGCCUUUUUUUCUGAUGUUGCACAUAAUUCUGUGCUCUUUUAAUGUAGCAGCGUUCUUUAAAAAAAAACAACAAAAAAAAAAACAAACAAACCACAGAAUCCGAGGGGAACGCCGGCCUGCUUAUUUUUUUAAAGUCCUCAAAGAUUUCUCCGGUCUCCCCGUGGGUUGGAUUUUACCCGGUCGCCCCUGAAAGGAAAGCACAGGCUGACUUUUAAUGAUGCCUCAACAAUAAAUACUUGUUUUUUUUGAAAAUAUUCUUUUUUUUUUUCCUCUUCAGGCUUAAUAAAAGCACUUAUGCAGCCAUUUCCUGUACAUUCUAGCACAGCGUUGCUUUCAUGUGUGCUGGCUGGUCUUCAUGCAGGUUUGUUCCCGUCUUGCCAACAGAAGAGGAGGAAGGCAGCUCCGCCAACUGCUCCAAUAGUAUUACUGUCCUCUGCUCGCGUGCAAUAAUGUCAGCGCUUUAUUUAAAGUCAAAUUUUUUUCUUUCUUUAAGAAUCAUCAAACCGUUUGUGGAGUUUUCUAAUUUUUUUUUUUUUUUUUUUCCCCUUUUCUGUGCAUCUUGAAGCGGUUUUCUGUCGACCUAGCUAGUGAGCAAAGACCUUCUGAUUGUAAUGAUCUUUGAGUUCUUCAUGCUGUCUCCCUGAAAUCAACCAAACCUUAUCUACCUAUACACAAAUAUUAUCUACACUUAAAAAAAAAAAAGGUAAUUUAAAAAGCAAUUCCCCAUUCCUGUCGUCUGUUCUUUUGUUUUUCUUUUCUCUUGGAGAUCUCUGCCGCUGUAGUCGGGCAGCGUUCUGGUUCUGUUCCAACAACCAAUCGGGCUCCAUUUCUCGGAAUGUGGCGCCAACACAAAAGAAUGGAUUCAUCCUACCUUGUAUCAAUAGUUCAGGUUGGUGGUGAUAGUAUAAUGAUAUGGGGGAUACACUUUGGGCUCUACAGUACCAGUUGAGGAUGGUUGCAACACCACAGUAUUGUUGCUGACCAUGUCCAUCCCUGUAUGACCACAGUGAACCAUCUCAUGGAUAAGGCGCCAUAUUGGAAAGCUGGAUCAACUCGACUGUUUUCUUGAACAAUGGGUCCACUGGACCUUUGGGAUGUAGUUAAACAGGAGAUCAGCAUCAUGGAUGUUCAGCUGACAAAUCUGUAGGAACUGUGUGAGGCUAUCAUGUCAAUAUGGACCAAAAUCUCUGAGGAAUGUUUCCAGUGAGACGGUUUUGAAGGUCCAACUCUGUACUAACAAGGUGUACCUGAUGGUGGCCGGUGAGAUUUUUAAAUUAAUUUUGUGUGUGUGUGUGUGGACCAAAUAAACAUCCGGC